RNAcentral lists this transfer RNA (72 nucleotides) under Mesorhizobium sp. RNAcentral's name for it is "tRNA-Ser". Lineage: Bacteria; Pseudomonadati; Pseudomonadota; Alphaproteobacteria; Hyphomicrobiales; Phyllobacteriaceae. The record is from RNAcentral.
GCGCCAUUCCUGCGGUUUUAACCAUCGUUUACACCGAAGAUGUCGGCGGUUCGAGCCCGUCAUCGCCCACCA